UCCAUGCGCUGUCUAACGGGGGUUAUGGGUUGCAUGCCGCAGAUGAGCCCCCCCUUCAGAGUCGCCGCGAUGCUGACCCAUCUCCAGAGCCCGCAGGGCGCUCCAGCCAACACAAGCUCCGACUGGGAGAAUGGUCCAGGGGAGAACAGCUUCAGGAGUGAAGCUCAGGGACAAGUGGAUCACCAUCAUGCGAAGUCCUCCAAGAGCAUGGACCUGGUGGCAGAUGAAAGCAACGUUGGGGCUCUCACAGGCAGAAGUCAG
Molecule: long non-coding RNA, 261 nt
Organism: Alosa sapidissima (American shad)
Lineage: Eukaryota; Metazoa; Chordata; Actinopteri; Clupeiformes; Clupeidae
Exons: 3
Source: RefSeq, a predicted model, not a curated record